GACGAACGCUGGCGGCGUGCUUAACACAUGCAAGUCGAACGCGCCUGUCCUCUGGGUUUCUGGGGGGUGGGGGGGGGCCAACGGGGGGGGAAACCCGGGAGUAACCUCCCCCUUUCUUGGGGUUAAGGGUCGGAAAGGGCGCCUAAUACCGGGUAUUCACGGUUCUCCGCUGGGGUUCGGGGGGAAGGGUUUUUUUCUGGUGGGGAUGGGCUCGCGGCCUAUCAGCUUGUUGGUGGGGUGAUGGCCCACCAAGGCUUUGACGGGUAGCCGGCCUGAGAGGGUGACCGGUCACAUUGGGACUGAGAUACGGCCCAGACUCCUACGGGAGGCAGCAGUGGGGAAUAUUGCACAAUGGGCGCAAGCCUGAUGCAGCGACGCCGCGUGAGGGAUGGAGGCCUUCGGGUUGUGAACCUCUUUCGCCCGUGGUCAAGCCGCGACGUGGGUCGUGGUGAGGGUAGUGGGUAAAGAAGCGCCGGCUAACUACGUG
This 487-nucleotide ribosomal RNA is filed under the name uncultured bacterium. RNAcentral's name for it is "partial 16S ribosomal RNA". It matches the Rfam family "Bacterial small subunit ribosomal RNA", at positions 28 to 507 of the family's 1533-position model. The record is from RNAcentral.